This is a long non-coding RNA of Lethenteron reissneri (Far Eastern brook lamprey), 4310 nucleotides long. RefSeq lists it as uncharacterized. The record is from RefSeq and is a predicted model, not a curated record. Lineage: Eukaryota; Metazoa; Chordata; Hyperoartia; Petromyzontiformes; Petromyzontidae.
CAUUCAUCUCCACCACGUGAAGAACGAACAGCAGAGACUCAAGUGACCCCCCCCACCGCCACCAUCAACCUCCACACACAUCCAGCGCAUCGCAGACAUUCCUCUUCGCCACGUGCAGAACGAACAACAGAGACUCACGUGACCCCCCCCACCGCCUCCAUCAACCUCCACACACAUGCAGCGCACAUCCCACGUCGGAGAAUGAGGAGGCUUACCGCAGCCUUCGUUCGGAGAGCCGUGAGGCGCUGCAAGGAUGAUGGGUGGUGGUCGCGGGUUGCUCAGGAGAUGGAGUCUGCCUCUUUAAUCCCAUCAAAAAAGUAACCUGCAGUGCCACACCUAUUACCAUCAUUAGGGGAAAGAACGGUGAUCCAAUCUCUGACCCCCAGGGACAGGUUUGCAGAUUUGCUGAGCAUUUCUGUGAGGUCCUAGGGGAGGGGAAAUCCCUCAGCCAGGAAAACAACGUGGGACAAAGUGGGGAUGGCCCUGCUGAGGCUGCGGUGCCUCAAGCAUUGGAGGAGGGAGUCAUCCCCUGCGAGUGGCUGGCUGAGGUGCCAUCUGUUGAGGAAGUACUGAGGGCGAUCCAGAGUCUGAGACCAGGAAAGGCACCGGGCACAGAUGAUCUCCCAAGCGAAAUGCUGAGGGAGGGUGGCGUUUGUGCACAGACUGCCCUACACGACAUCAUAACAACAGUCUGGACCACUGGACGGGUUCCGCAGGAUUGGAAGGAUGCCCUGGUUGUCCCCCUCUUUAAGAAGGGAGACCGCACAGACUGUAACAACUACAGGGGCAUCUCACUCCUCAGUUUGCCGGGAAUGGUCCUGGCAAGGAUUGUUCAACAUCGCCUGGAGGCCCAGUCGAUUCCGAGAAUCAACACCGAAUCUCAUCGUUCUGCAGAUCGAUUCCUACGUAAUCGAACGUCUGUCCGUGCGCCUCCGUCGUUCAAACCCAGGCGCCCCCUGCGUGAAGACGACGGGAAAUGUAGCGUUCAUCACAGAGGAAGCGAGGCGUUUAUAUGUUGAGAAGAUGCAAAUCUAUCGUGGGACCGGCUGUGUGACCGCGCCUGAGAAUAAUGAGAACGCCGUUCCCAGCUCUCGGCCGCCGCCUUUGUCUCUCCCAGUCGCAGACGUGAAUCUUCACCACGUGCAGAACGAACAGCAGAGACUCACGUGACCCCCCCCCACCGCCUCCAUCAACCUCCACACACAUCCAGCGCAGUGAGAGGCCGCCCCGGUUUUUCGAUCCCACAAUGCACUGGGGCUGAAAAAACUAAACUAUAAUCCGAACAAACAUAUGCUCAAUAAGCACAUUUUAGACGCGCAAACUGUGAUGAUCUUUAAAAAACAAUAACUACAAUAUAAUAGUUUACAAUGUGUAUGAGCUCGAUUAUUAGUAAUUUAUUUAAAAUAACACACAUUUUUGUGGGGCCCAUAGCGUAAAGCGCAUACAGGCCGCGGUACUAUAAAUACACGUCGCGACACUAGUGUGUUCUGUACUUGCUCCGGCAGUACAUAUACUAAAAUUGGAACGAUACAGAGAAGAUUAGCAUGGCCCCUGCGCAAGGAUGACACGCAAAUUCGUGAAGCGUUCCAUAUUUUGCAUCUUUUAAUAAAUAAAUUAUGCUCUGCCAUACUUGCUAGGGCACAUGCCAAUUCGUUCCUAAUACUAAUACAGCAGCACACCGGUGUGUCUUUUUGGAUCAAGUCUCAAGAUCUUUGACGUCCGCUUUGAAGCAGAAUGUGCGUGUUUGUGGUUAAUAUUUCCAGAGUAUUAUUAACCAGGGUGGCUGCUGGGCUUAAACUACGAACCUCUGCAAAACAUGAAUUGAUAUAUCUUGAAUGGCGGUGAUACGCUACUUUGUGAGGAGUUUAAUAAUAACAAUGGGAACGUUCAUUCACUUAUUCGUCAAUUAAUAUCAAUCCUAAAGCGGACAAAACAGUGUACAGUAUCAAAUUGCACGUGCACUAAUUGUCAUUUACCGAGCCCCGUUUAUGCUUUUGUAUUUUACCCCAAGUGUUCCAGUGCGUCGUGUCGUGAGAUGAAGAAUUCAUUCAGAAAUAUUGCGGGGUGGCUAUGCAAAAAAACGACCGACAGAAGUGGAUAACACCGAGCUACUUCUGAGAUAUUUUCAAGUGAAAGAUGUGAUUAACCAUGCAAAAAAGAUUUAACUACACUUAUUUGGCCAAUCUUAUUUGACAGACAACUAUUACAGGUUAUUGAUAGACAGCCAGGCUUGUUUUACCAUGUUUAGUCACAAACCGUACCUCUCCAUAACAAAGGCUCACCCUCUUAAGCCUCACCUUACCAUAUGAAUAAAAAGUGUGCCGUUCUUGGCCCUUCCCCCCUCUCCAACCAUUAUAUAUACGGAGUGGUAGCUUUUGCAAUCUCUCAUUUACUUGAUACAGCUGUCGUGGCUGUGACGGUUCCACCUGAAGACGGAAGCUUGUGUUGCCUCCGAAACGUCGUGAUUUUGAUAUUUUUUACUUUUAUUAAUUGAAAUGUUUUACCUACGUGACUUUACCGAAAAAACCUAAGAAUAUGUGUAUUCUCAGAGCUGGAAUUUUGCCAACUUAAGUGCAAGACCAAUUUUGCCACGAUGGCUUUUUGGUUCAGUCAUUCGUGGCUGGGCUGAGUCCAUCGUCUCACUACACUUGAGAAAUUCACAUUUAAACCCAGGAUCUUAGAAGUGGCGACUCGGCACUCUGACCCAUGAGCCACGCGGCCACCGCUUAAGCACCCUGUUGUUUAGCAGAACUCUUUCCCAGCCAAAGCACUACAAGGUUCACGCCAAUUAACCAGUAAAGCCUUAUUAGAGCAUUUAUUUAUAAUUAUGAACGUUAUUGUAAUCGUAAUAGCUUUAUCAAGACAAGGGUAUGAAGAGCGUGAAACCAUAAUGGCGUUGGCUGUGUACCAAAGAUGACCAUGAUGAACCCCAUGAAGAGACACUCAGACCAAGAGUUGUAAUUUAGGAACUCAGCGCUGCUAUGUACCUCAAUUUCUCAGACAUGGUCAUUAUGAUUCCCCAGACAUCCAGGUCCAGCUUGAACUCAAGCCAUCUACAAUGCUGGUUUCAGUGUAUGUGACAGGGCCAAUCUCAUGAAAUUAUAGCUUUUGAUAAGCAAAUUACAUAAUUAUGUUUUUUUACAUCUGCGUGCCAACAUUUCACAAGGAAUUCACCGAGUGAAUGAUUGCAUAACAGGAAAAAAAAACACCCACGUGUUUUUAUGUUUAGUUUUAUUGUUUUAAAGAAAUGAGUUCUAAAUCCUUGCUGCAAUAUCAGGUGUCGGAGACAAUGAGCCAUCGGUAAGUCCUGGCUAAAGCCCCAUGAUCUACGAUUUCUCUCUCUUUCACUGGGUUUAUAAUGGCCAUGUCAGGUUGAUAAUGGAAAAGUCACAAUGAACGAGCACUACCGAGACCCUGGCAUUGCGCAGAGGGUCUACGCGUCUCUAUGUCAUGUACACGUACGGGCGUUUUGUUAAUCCACUGCUGGAUUAUGGCCUCUCCGUGCGUUGGUUAGUGUGGGUUGGAGGUGGCAAACAUUUUUCUUUUGUAUGGCAGUGUGUAUAUAGAUGACAUAGUUGAAUGUGAAUGUCCUUCAACCAAUCCAAGGCGGCAGUAGAUGCUGCGAUACCGCCAGGGUGUGCAUGGAUGGCGCACUCGUCGGUGAUGUGUUUGAUGGUUUGGGCUUUACCACAGUCGCAGAUUGGUGAGUCUUUGAUUUCUCAUUCAUGGAACGUGUACGCACAUCUCCCGUCCUGCGUCAGUGUGGUCCACAGACGCCGUGAGAGAAAGAAUCGCGGCACUUACACGGUCGGGUCCUCAAUGAUGUUUUUUGUUUGCCACGUUCGAAGCCGCACACCCUUCAGACCAUCGAGUGCCGGUGUAUAAAAGUACAUUACCCUCAACGUCGCCUAUGUUUCUAUGUUAGGGGCUUCAUCGUGACGGUGCCAGAGCCAUUGCGAUUCUGGGUUUCAGCACCAAUAACCCCACAAAACCAGAACAUUGAUUAACUUCCCGCUUAAUUUGGUCACACUGCAGGCAUAAUGUAACAACCAUAAUAUCGGGUUUGUUUGUGGGUUAUAUCGCAUAAAUAUAAAUCUGUCGUUAAACCCAUCACCACCCGACACAGCCAAUAAGUAAGGUUUGUCGCACAAACAGAACAUGCCAAUUCGUUCCUAGUACAACACAUCGGUGUGUUGGAGAGCAAAUACACAACAUUCACAAUCUGAGUACGACGUUUCGCCAGUAAUUGCAACUGGCAUCACCAGGUGGCAGGCAGAUUUGUGAAUGUAAAUAAAAUCGGACGACUGACA